CAAACCAAGUCUUUAUCGCAAUCAAUUAGGGUCAGUUACAUGAAUUAUUUUACGUCAUUGAGCUCAAUCAAGCAUCAAAUAUUUACCGAAAUUCAAUUCAAUCACAUCAUUUUUUACUAUCACAUCUACUGUUAAUUUCGGUCUGCUCCUUCCUUUAGGGUUGUCACUACUUAUAAUUAUAUCACUUUUUCUUACUACCGCAUCAGUAGACCUAAGACAUUUAUAUCCGAACCACCUAAGUUUAUUCUCUAUUAGCAUAUUCUCAAUUGUUACAACUCCUACCAUGUCACAAAUAUUAGCAUUUUUGAUUCUAUCAUUUCUAGUCUUACCACAUAUCUACCUCAACAUUUUCAUCUCAGGUACACUCAUUUUAGUCACAUGUUGUUUCAUAAGAAUCCAACAUUCUGUCACAUAAAGCAUCGUCAAUUUUAUAGUCGUUCUAUAGAAUUUUCUUUUUAAUUUGAGAGGUACUCUUUGAUAGCAUAAUACUUCAUAAGUCGCUCUCCACUCGAGCCAAUCAACUUGUAUCCUAUGCGUUUUAUAAUCAACAAUCUUACCAUCCUUGCUUAAAUAUAAAACCUACAUACCGAAACUUCUUG
Molecule: long non-coding RNA, 599 nt
Filed under: Actinidia chinensis (golden kiwifruit)
Lineage: Eukaryota; Viridiplantae; Streptophyta; Magnoliopsida; Ericales; Actinidiaceae
Description: long non-coding RNA (ACHI_LNC008009)
Source: RNAcentral